GACGAACGCUGGCGGCGUGCUUAACACAUGCAAGUCGAACGGAAAGGCCCUGCUUUUGUGGGGUGCUCGAGUGGCGAACGGGUGAGUAACACGUGAGUAACCUGCCCUUGACUUUGGGAUAACUUCAGGAAACUGGGGCUAAUACCGGAUAGGAUCUCCUGCUGCAUGGUGGGGGUUGGAAAGUUUCGGCGGUUGGGGAUGGACUCGCGGCUUAUCAGCUUGUUGGUGGGGUAGUGGCUUACCAAGGCUUUGACGGGUAGCCGGCCUGAGAGGGUGACCGGCCACAUUGGGACUGAGAUACGGCACAGACUCCUCCGGGAGGCAGCAGUGGGGAAUAUUGCACAAUGGGCGGAAGCAUGAUGCAGCAACGCCGCGUGCGGGAUGACGGCCUUCGGGUUGUAAACCGCUUUCGCCUGUGACGAAGCGUGAGUGACGGUAAUGGGUAAAGAAGCACCGGCUAACUACGUG
Molecule: ribosomal RNA, 468 nt
Filed under: uncultured bacterium
Lineage: Bacteria
Description: partial 16S ribosomal RNA
Rfam family: Bacterial small subunit ribosomal RNA
Source: RNAcentral